UCAGCACAGAGCCCGACGACGUGGGGCUGAAACUUCCGAACCCUGAGAUCAUGACCUGAGCCGAAGUCGGAAGCUUAACCCACUGAGCCACCAAGGCCCCCAUCAAGGACAUUCUUAAAUGAAACUGGCUUUCCUCCCUGUACCGUGUUUCCAGAAGCGGAGGUGCAAGAUUCACAUGUAUAUGCAUGUAUAUGGACCCAAACGGGACAAAGCAAUUCCCCUACAUGGCAGGGAGAACGCCAUGAGAAGACAGCAGAGACCUGGGUGACACAGCCAAGGAACACCAAAGAUUGGCAGCAAACCACCAGAAGCCAGGAGAGAGGCACAGAACACAUUCUCGCAGCCCUCAGAAGGAGCCAACCCUGCAGAAACCCUGGUCUCAGACUUCCAGCCUCCAGAGCUGUGACACAAUACAUUUCUGUUGUUUAAGCCA
Felis catus (domestic cat) is the source of this 433-nucleotide long non-coding RNA. RefSeq lists it as uncharacterized. NCBI's taxonomy places the organism in Eukaryota, Metazoa, Chordata, Mammalia, Carnivora, Felidae. The transcript is spliced from 3 exons. The record is from RefSeq and is a predicted model, not a curated record.